GCAGCGAGUUGUAGCCUCGUGCACGAGGGUGGAACCCCUCCACUACCA
Molecule: transfer RNA, 48 nt
Filed under: Afrogecko porphyreus
Lineage: Eukaryota; Metazoa; Chordata; Lepidosauria; Squamata; Gekkonidae
Description: partial tRNA-Tyr
Source: RNAcentral